This 1479-nucleotide ribosomal RNA is filed under the name uncultured organism. RNAcentral's name for it is "SSU rRNA". It matches the Rfam family "Bacterial small subunit ribosomal RNA". The record is from RNAcentral.
UUAGGAUGAACGCUGGCGGCGUGCCUAAUACAUGCAAGUCGAACGAGUUCUGAUUAUUGAAAGGUGCUUGCAUCUUGAUUUAAUUUUGAACGAGUGGCGGACGGGUGAGUAACACGUGGGUAACCUGCCCUUAAGUGGGGGAUAACAUUUGGAAACAGAUGCUAAUACCGCAUAAAUCCAAGAACCGCAUGGUUCUUGGCUGAAAGAUGGCGUAAGCUAUCGCUUUUGGAUGGACCCGCGGCGUAUUAGCUAGUUGGUGAGGUAACGGCUCACCAAGGCAAUGAUACGUAGCCGAACUGAGAGGUUGAUCGGCCACAUUGGGACUGAGACACGGCCCAAACUCCUACGGGAGGCAGCAGUAGGGAAUCUUCCACAAUGGACGCAAGUCUGAUGGAGCAACGCCGCGUGAGUGAAGAAGGCUUUCGGGUCGUAAAACUCUGUUGUUGGAGAAGAAUGGUCGGCAGAGUAACUGUUGUCGGCGUGACGGUAUCCAACCAGAAAGCCACGGCUAACUACGUGCCAGCAGCCGGGGUAAUACGUAGGUGGCAAGCGUUAUCCGGAUUUAUUGGGCGUAAAGGGAGCGCAGGCGUUUUUUAAGUCUGAUGUGAAAGCCCUUGGCUUAACCGAGGAAGUGCAUCGGAAACUGGGAAACUUGAGUGCAGAAGAGGACAGUGGAACUCCAUGUGUAGCGGUGAAAAUGCGUAGAUAUAUGGAAGAACACCAGUGGCGAAGGCGGCUGUCUGGUCUGUAACUGACGCUGAGGCUCGAAAGCAUGGGUAGCGAACAGGAUUAGAUACCCUGGUAGUCCAUGCCGUAAACGAUGAAUGCUAGGUGUUGGAGGGUUUCCGCCCUUCAGUGCCGCAGCUAACGCAUUAAGCAUUCCGCCUGGGGAGUACGACCGCAAGGUUGAAACUCAAAGGAAUUGACGGGGGCCCGCACAAGCGGUGGAGCAUGUGGUUUAAUUCGAAGCAACGCGAAGAACCUUACCAGGUCUUGACAUCUUUUGAUUACCUGAGAGAUCAGGUUUCCCCUUCGGGGGCAAAAUGACAGGUGGUGCAUGGUUGUCGUCAGCUCGUGUCGUGAGAUGUUGGGUUAAGUCCCGCAACGAGCGCAACCCUUAUGACUAGUUGCCAGCAUUUAGUUGGGCACUCUAGUAAGACUGCCGGUGACAAACCGGAGGAAGGUGGGGAUGACGUCAAAUCAUCAUGCCCCUUAUGACCUGGGCUACACACGUGCUACAAUGGAUGGUACAACGAGUUGCGAGACCGCGAGGUCAAGCUAAUCUCUUAAAGCCAUUCUCAGUUCGGACUGUAGGCUGCAACUCGCCUACACGAAGUCGGAAUCGCUAGUAAUCGCGGAUCAGCACGCCGCGGUGAAUACGUUCCCGGGCCUUGUACACACCGCCCGUCACACCAUGAGAGUUUGUAACACCCGAAGCCGGUGGCGUAACCCUUUUAGGGAGCGAGCCGUCUAAGGUGG